CCUCGCAGGCCUGGACCGGGACCAAGACCGGGACCGGGAGGACCGCAAGCUCGCCCUGGCGCGGGCGCUGGCGGCGCUGGCCGGCGUGGUCCUGGGCUCCGCGGUGCUGGCCGCCGUCUGCAGAAGCCGCAGUAGAAGGGAAAAGUCUGUCCCCAGCCUGCAGUUCCUCGCCCGGCCACGAGAGGGCGCUGUGGAGCAGCACAACUAGGCAGCCAUCCCCCGGCCUCAGCCUCGCUGCAGAUCCUCGCUGCAGCGCUGGCUCCUCCCACCCAUCCCACAGGUGAAGGACGAGUUGAAGGAUACAUUUGUGUGGGAGCAGGUCACCGGGAAAGAAACCAUGCCUGCGGCAGAUUAUCCAGAGCCGAAGGACAUCCUCUUGGUGGAAGACAUCCAGUGAUGUGCCCCGGUGCCCUCCUGCAGCCCGCGCUUCCUCGCCUGCCCGCCCGGGCCGUGUGUGCAGGGCAACUCGGUCAGGGUCCUAACGUCACUCCCGGGAGGCUGAGGCAGGAGGGUCCCAAGCCGGAACCAGGCCUGGAAGCUCAGGGCUCAGGGAGGCCCUGUCUCAGGCUGAAGAACAAAGAAGGGCUGGGGACGGGCUCUGUGCAGAGGCCCCGGGUUCAGCCCCAGUACUGAAAAUAAACAUAAGGGAAGGGUGGGAGGAAGCGGAAUGCGCACGGAAAUCGCCCCAGUUGUGUGUCCUUCAGU
Long non-coding RNA from Octodon degus (degu), 705 nucleotides. RefSeq lists it as uncharacterized. The transcript has 4 exons. The record is from RefSeq and is a predicted model, not a curated record. Lineage: Eukaryota; Metazoa; Chordata; Mammalia; Rodentia; Octodontidae.